Pecten maximus is the source of this 5134-nucleotide long non-coding RNA. RefSeq lists it as uncharacterized. The transcript is spliced from 2 exons. The record is from RefSeq and is a predicted model, not a curated record. Lineage: Eukaryota; Metazoa; Mollusca; Bivalvia; Pectinida; Pectinidae.
GUGGUAGGGGUGUAAAGAUGGGGCCAGGGAGGUGGGUAUUCACUAUGUAAUCAAUGGUAUCUGUAAUACACCAUACCAGAAUAAAUGAUUGUAUUGACCCUCAUUCAAGGUCAUGUUCGUUAAAUCUUCGAAUGCAACUGUAUUUGAUGGACAUUUAGAGUCAAGCGUAAGAUGUCUUUUUUUAUGAAGCUUCAUUGUUCCUUCUAAGGUCCCAUUUAACAUUUAAGGUCACUGAAGGUUACCAUUACUAUUGUUAGAAACUUGAUAUGAAAGAUUUUGCCUAUAGCUUAUAGUAGUUUUUGAUAUCAUGAAUUAAAUGAUUGACUAGAUUAAGGCUGAAGUAUCAAGGUCAUGCAUUACAAAUGUGGGUCAUAAUUACUGAUUUUAGAAAUUAACAUAUAAACUAUUGUACAUAGUAGUGUAUGCUACUCCUCAAAUAAAGUAAUCCACAUACUUUGAUAAAACUCAAAAUGAUUGAUAUUAGCGUUUAUAGAAACUUUUUUUUUUUUUUUUCGUAGAUAUUAUCUCUUUGAGUAUACUCAAGAAAAUAAAAGUUGUCUUGAAUAAACUUUGUUAGCCUUAGGGUUGCAGUGCUGUCAUCAAGCAUGAUAUAAUGAAGAAGAUGUAAACAGUGUUGCUCAUUAUGAAAAAAAUUAAUCAUGAAUUUUAUUUAUUGCCAACACCAAAUUUCACCAAACAAUGAUCAACGUUUGUUAUUACAAUUUUUUAGGAUAUGUGAAAAGGGAUUAUGCUUCAUUUUUAAUCCCAUUUUUAAUUUUUGAAGCAUUUCCUCUUGGAUGCUCUCCAUCUUGAAAAAUCACAAAUAUUGUUUUUCCAUGGCACUGUUUACUUUACUGGUGUUUUAAUAUGUUUGGUUAUCCUGUGUCAGCUGUAGGUUUGAUCUUAUUAUUUAAAUAGAAAAAACAUCUUUGGGCAUUACAAUGGCAUGUUAAUUAUUGAGGAAGGAGUUUAAACCAAGGAAUAGAACAAGCUCCAUUCCUAUGACUUGGUUGGUUGGUUCCUUCUAUCCCUUGUUUGGAUACCACCCAGUGUGAUUAAAGAACGAGGAAAACUCUUAGUCCAAGUCUUUUGUGAUUGUUUCUGAUAAUAGAAUGGAGUUUACUAAGGAAUAUUGUUGUGAGAUUCUACAUUGUUAUAGUUAUGAUAUACUGUUUUUGUUAAUGUAUAUAUAAAUGUUUUUGUACGUCACUAAUGUCUACAAAAGGAUAUGUGUUUUUAUUUGUCUGAAAAGGUUAAAAUUUAACAAAAGGAGACCGUAUAUACAUGAAUUCCUUGUAGCAAUAUGCUAUCCCUACAUGUAUCCUGAUGAAGAAUUUCUAACAAAUACUAAUAUGUUUAACAUGAUGAUUUCUCCAGUAUAAUUACAGUAUAGUAUUGUUCAUAUAAUCUUGUAUAUAGGAUCUUGCAUUUAAGUUCUCAUUUCUGGCCAGUGUUAUAGGAGUCUAGUUAAGUUAGAUAAACUGUCAGAAUUUGUGUCAUUAUACAUCUGAAACAUAUUUAAGGUAAUUUCUGUUACCUGAUCAAUUUAUUUUAAUUAAUUGGAAAAAACAGGAUGUUCGGUGUGAUUCUUGAAGUUCUCAACAUGCCAUAUUUACUUACAAUAGUCUCCAUGUCCAUUGUAACAUUAUGCUAUUGUUGGUGAUGUUAUUUCCUAAUUUGAUAAAGUUACAAUAUGUGUUGUACAAGUGCUUUCCAAAAUGUACAAUUUUUUUUUAUCAUGGAAUGAUUAAAGUGACCAUGUGUUUAAGUAUUUAGCUCCUUGUCAUAUGUACUAACUAUAAGUCUAAAAGAAGUACUACCUCUGACAGUUGUCACAGGUCUGAUGUAGUCAUUAUUGUGUCCAUCAUAUAGUGGAAUUCUGUAGAAUUCUGUAGAAUCUACGUCCCACUGAUGGCGAGGUGUCACAGGUCUGAUGUAGUCAUCAUUGUGUCCAUCAUACGAUGGAAUUCUGUAGAAUUCUGUAGAAUCUACGUCCCACUGAUGGCGAGGUGUCACAGGUAUACUGUAGUCAUUAUUGUGUCCAUCAUACAGUGGAAUUCUGUAGAAUCUACGUCCCACUGAUGGUGAGGUGUCACAGGUCUGAUGUAGUCAUUAUUGUGUCCAUCAUACAGUGGAAUUCUGUAGAAUCUACGUCCCACUGAUGACGAGGUGUCACAGGUCUGAUGUAGUCAUUAUUGUGUCCAUCAUACAGUGGAAUUCUGUAGAAUCUACGUCCCACUGAUGACGAGGUGUCACAGGUCUGAUGUAGUCAUCAUUGUGUCCAUCAUACAGUGGAAUUCUGUAGAAUCUACGUCCCACUGAUGGUGAGGUGUCACAGGUCUGAUGUAGUCAUUAUUGUGUCCAUCAUACAGUGGAAUUCUGUAGAAUCUACGUCCCACUGAUGGCGAGGUGUCACAGGUCUGAUGUAGUCAUUAUUGUGUCCAUCAUACAGUGGAAUUCUGUAGAAUCUACGUCCCACUGAUGACGAGGUGUCACAGGUCUGAUGUAGUCAUCAUUGUGUCCAUCAUACAGUGGAAUUCUGUAGAAUUCUGUAGAAUCUACGUCCCACUGAUGGCGAGGUGUCACAGGUCUGAUGUAGUCAUUAUUGUGUCCAUCAUACAGUGGAAUUCUGUAGAAUUCUGUAGAAUCUACGUCCCACUGAUGGCGAGAUGUCACAGGUAUACUGUAGUCAUUAUUGUGUCCAUCGUACAGUGGAAUUCUGUAGAAUUCUGUAGAAUCUACGUCCCACUGAUGGCGAGGUGUCACAGGUCUGAUGUAGUCAUUAUUGUGUCCAUCAUACAGUGGAAUUCUGUAGAAUUCUGUAGAAUCUACGUCCCACUGAUGGCGAGGUGUCACAGGUCUGAUGUAGUCAUUAUUGUGUCCAUCAUACAGUGGAAUUCUGUAGAAUUCUGUAGAAUCUACGUCCCACUGAUGACGAGGUGUCACAGGUCUGAUGUAGUCAUUAUUGUGUCCAUCAUACAGUGGAAUUCUGUAGAAUUCUGUAGAAUCUACGUCCCACUGAUGACGAGGUGUCACAGGUCUGAUGUAGUCAUUAUUGUGUCCAUCAUACAGUGGAAUUCUGUAGAAUUCUGUAGAAUCUACGUCCCACUGAUGGCGAGGUGUCACAGGUCUGAUGUAGUCAUUAUUGUGUCCAUCAUACAGUGGAAUUCUGUAGAAUUCUGUAGAAUCUACGUCCCACUGAUGACGAGGUGUCACAGGUCUGAUGUAGUCAUUAUUGUGUCCAUCAUACAGUGGAAUUCUGUAGAAUCUACGUCACACUGAUGACGAGGUGUCACAGGUCUGAUGUAGUCAUUAUUGUGUCCAUCAUACAGUGGAAUUCUGUAGAAUUCUGUAGAAUCUACGUCCCACUGAUGACGAGGUGUCACAGGUCUGAUGUAGUCAUUAUUGUGUCCAUCAUAUAGUGGAAUUCUGUAGAAUCUACGUCCCACUGAUGGCGAGGUGUCACAGGUCUGAUGUAGUCAUUAUUGUGUCCAUCAUACAGUGGAAUUCUGUAGAAUUCUGUAGAAUCUACGUCCCACUGAUGACGAGGUGUCACAGGUCUGAUGUAGUCAUUAUUGUGUCCAUCAUACAGUGGAAUUCUAUAGAAUUCUGUAGAAUCUACAUCACACGGAUGGCGAGGUGUCACAGGUCCCAAUUUCAUUUUAAUAAAACAUAUUAUCAUUUAAUAGUGUUUAAUCAAAAUACUGAUUUAAUUAUGUGUUUAUUUAUGUGUAAAGGAGUGUUAAGAAAAACAUCCAUCCAUUGAUGUAAUCAUCAAUAUAAUUGUAUUAUUAAUGUCUAUCUUAUUUGUUCUGUGUGUUAUUUCAUAAAACCACUACUUAAAUUAAAAUUGUGUUUAAUAAUUCUAUACAUUUCUAGGAAAACUGUAAAACUUAUGAAAGAUGGACAUGUACAUAACAAAUGGUCAUUUUAGGUAGUAAACCUGGCUUUGUUAAAGUAUCUGUAUUGCCUAAAAUAACUGGAGUAGGUGAGCAUUACAAAAUAAAAAAGUAAGCCAAUAUUUGGAGUGAUAUUUUGAAGUACCUAGGUUUAAAUGGAGAAAGCUGUAAUUCACCUCUAAUGAUUUAGGUUCACUCUUCAUUUCACCAAAUCCUUUGUAAAUAUUUAUUUCUGAACAAUGGUAACAGCCAUAGCAAGGGUAUAUCUGGGUUUUACUGUAUAUAUUCUUGUGUUGAAUUAUAGUCAUGUCCAUCACAUUCGGGGGCCUGUUCGUUUACUCGGACAAACCGGUGCGUCAGUUUUUAAAUGUAAUAUUUCAAACAUAUUAUAUCUUGACGGACCUGCAAAUGUUAAUACAGGCCUUGGGAGUAUUUGUCAAGGCUCGUCUGAAAACAAUAUAAAAUCACCAGGUCCGUCUUUUUUUCAUAAACGAACAACACCGGUCCAAGUGGUCUAACCGUUUGGACCGCAAAAAUGAAAACGGCCCAUGUCUAGGCCUUUUCAAAUUGGGUACCAGCAAUUAAUAUAAAUAAAUAAAUUUCACACACAAAAAAAAAACUUUAUUGAAAGUCUGCAGUUAAUAUUUUCCUAAGUUACUUUGAUUUGUUCGAUACAUUUCGGUGUAAGGAAUUACUUCUAAUCUCUGUCGGUCUUAAUAAGGGGAGAUUACUCUUGGUUUAUGUGAAUCACACUAGACAGUGACUAGUGCAAUGAUAUACCUGUACUAGUAAUAAUCAUUGUUGGAUGUUUUAUUACACCCACAUAAAUAUAUAUAUGUAUUUGUACAUGUUACAAUGGUGUUAGAAACAUUUAUAUUACUGUGCCAGUAAUACUGUAUGCAAACUAUUGCAUGCUGUUAUUGAGUCAGUUUUUCCGUCAUCUUGAAAUGGUUAAAUCAAACAAGUUCUACUUCAAUAUACAAGGACCUAUAUACCUUUAUACCAGUGACUUGGCACGAAUUUCCAACCCACAAUCCAUAUAUGGUACAUAUAUAUGGACCAUGGGCUGGAAAUCCAUGCCAAGCUCCUGUACUUUAUACCAGUGAAAGUAUUUAACACCUUGUUACAUGUUUCAGUGGGUUGUUGUUAUGUACUUGUGUAUAUUUAUUUGUCAUAAUUUAAUCAUUGUUCAUAUCCCAUUGAUAUGAAAGCAUGAAUAAAAUUUAAAUAUUUUA